UUGAGACUCCCAAGACACAACUCGAACUUAUAUUGAAACAUGGGAUGCCUAGGUCUUAAGGAAUUAGUUCGUGUACAAUUCUUGUUCGAAAGUUUUACCUGCGAGUGAAUUCAUGGUCGACCUAAUUUCCCUACUGAUUCGUUAUCUUGACUUGAAGGAGAGGAUUAUCUAAUAUCUUCUGACUGUGCUUUAUUGUCUAACUUGCUCGAGGGCUAGCAAGACUUAAGUUAUGGGGGUGUUUGAUGUGAGUGGGUAAUUGUCUAACUUGUUCCUCGGAGUAUACAAUGGAAUGGAGGGUAUCGUAUUACUGCUCCAAGUCAGUUUUGACCACUUCGAUAUUAAGUUGGUCUUGCUGUCUCCAAAAUCUGAAGAUCACGAUACCAGGAUGUGUGGAAAGAAUUUCUAUUUGAGUCAGAUUAAAGAGCUGUGUGCCAAUCCUAUUUGAGGCGACUGAGAUAAUUUCUAGAGCACUCAUUUCAGCUGGAAUCACAAACAGAGUUGACACCGAUGAAUGGAAUCCAUCCACUGAUACACAUCUUCCUCGAUUGAUAACCUCUCUGGAAAUGUUGUGAUACACCCAAAAUUUUAACUAUUAUUCCAGCAGUUGUGUUUGUCUACGACAGUUUGAUCAACUAGCACGGGACCAAGUUUUCUAUAGAUUGCAAACUUGAGUUUGCUCGUACUGCUUGCUCAUCUAAAUUCUGCUGCUGGGCUGCGCUGCAAGCAAAACUCGUUCCUUUGUUGAGAGCUCUACUUUACUGUUGAUCAGUUCCAGAGAUGUCCACUGUUUUUCAAUAACCAUGUUCGAGCCUUGUUUCCAUUCAAUACACAUCCAACACAUGUUAUCCUUGCUAGCCAUAUUCUUGCCAAGUCUCUUUUCUCAGCCCUCUUACAAUUACUGCUCUUGAGGGCAAAUAAAAUCAAACUCAGGGGAGAAAGCUUUGGUUCUGCUUUCGGAUAGAAGUGUUGUGACAGUUCCCACAGAAGACCUUCUACCAACUAAUCCUCGGAUACUUGACUAAGUUGAUGAUCUUCCACAACUAAGUUAUUUGAGCGUUUAGUUCUUCACAAUCUUCAAUAUAGAUAUUUACAAGAUAAUUUAAAUAGAAUGGCAGGCUCUGGAUUUUUGUCCGUCAAUCCAUAUAAAAAUGUCUAGGUAUAUGGGGAUGAUAAAGAAAGAAGCUUUUGGACACUCCUCAUGCUUAUGUUGUAGCUGAUGCGGCAUACAAUGCAAGGAUAGCAGAUGAAGUAAGCCUGGCUAUAAUUAUCAGGUUAGCUGCAGUUUUUGUUAUGAUAUUCUUCCUUAGAGCAUGCUGUAGUUUUCUUUGUAAUAAAUAGUGUUUGCGUGAUUAACUUUAUUUACCACUAUUUGUUUGGUACCUGGUUUGAAGUUUAAGCUGAAAAGGUUAAGAGAGUGGACGGAAGGGGGCACAAAAUGAGGAAAU
Molecule: long non-coding RNA, 1445 nt
Organism: Salvia splendens (bonfire salvia)
Lineage: Eukaryota; Viridiplantae; Streptophyta; Magnoliopsida; Lamiales; Lamiaceae
Exons: 7
Source: RefSeq, a predicted model, not a curated record